Molecule: ribosomal RNA, 330 nt
Filed under: uncultured bacterium
Lineage: Bacteria
Description: bacterial SSU rRNA
Rfam family: Bacterial small subunit ribosomal RNA
Source: RNAcentral
GAUGAACGCUGGCGGCAUGCCUAAGACAUGCAAGUCGAACGAGGUGGCCCAUUGAAGUCUGAGUGCUUGCACAAAGAUGAAUUUGGAUUUUCCACCUAGUGGCAAACGGGUGAGUAACACGUGGGUUACCUACCUUUAAGUUGGGGAUAACAACUGGAAACGGUUGAUAAUACCGAAUGUGCUCUGCGGAGUAAAGAAGCCUUUAAAGCUUCGCUUAGAGAUGGGCCUGCGGCGUAUUAGUUAGUUGGUGGGGUAAUGGCCUACCAAGACAGCGAUGCGUAGCCGAACUGAGAGGUUAAUCGGCCACACUGGGACUGAGACACGGCCCAG